GACGAACGCUGGCGGCGUGCUUAACACAUGCAAGUCGAACGGAAAGGCCCUGCUUUUGUGGGGUGCUCGAGUGGCGAACGGGUGAGUAACACGUGAGUAACCUGCCCUUGACUUUGGGAUAACUUCAGGAAACUGGGGCUAAUACCGGAUAGGAGCUCCUGCCGCAUGGUGGGGGUUGGAAAGUUUCGGCGGUUGGGGAUGGACUCGCGGCUUAUCAGCUUGUGGGUGGGGUAGUGGCUUACCAAGGCUUUGACGGGUAGCCGGCCUGAGAGGGUGACCGGCCACAUGGGGACUGAGAUACGGCCCAGACUCCUACGGGAGGCAGCAGUGGGCAAUAUUGCACAAUGGGCGGAAGCCUGAGGCAGCAACGCCGCGUGCGGGAUGACGGCCUUCGGGUGGUAAACCGCUUUCGCCGGUGACGAAGCGUGAGUGACGGUAAUGGGUAAAGAAGCACCGGCUAACUACGU
RNAcentral lists this ribosomal RNA (467 nucleotides) under uncultured bacterium. RNAcentral's name for it is "partial 16S ribosomal RNA". It matches the Rfam family "Bacterial small subunit ribosomal RNA", at positions 28 to 506 of the family's 1533-position model. The record is from RNAcentral.